Long non-coding RNA from Lutra lutra (Eurasian river otter), 572 nucleotides. RefSeq lists it as uncharacterized. The transcript is spliced from 3 exons. NCBI's taxonomy places the organism in Eukaryota, Metazoa, Chordata, Mammalia, Carnivora, Mustelidae. The record is from RefSeq and is a predicted model, not a curated record.
UGCGGUGGUUCCCUUUACUAAGCGAGAGCACGGUUGGCAGGAUUCUUUUGUCCCCUAAGAAGAACCAAGAGGAAGCUGAGCCAAGAGCCUCAAAGGGGGACCCCUGAAGGAAAGGGAGAAAGUAGUUCCCAAAGACCAACAAGGCAAAUCCUUAGGGCUUCCAUAAGGAUUAGGAAAUCAUCUCUUCACCCAUGUGACCGCUUACAGUCUUGAAACUCCAAGGAAGGUUUUGGUGGAGAUGGGAGGGAGUAAAGGAUCUCCAGUGGACAGCACAUCUGACUUGACUAAAGGCAUCAACCCAGACCGUAUAGCCCAUCCUCGAUCUCAGGAAGGGGGUGGGUGAGGGGAACAACAUACGUGCAAGGGCACAGAUGUCAUUCCCACACAAGUGGGGGCACAACUUGCAUAAUUAGAGCCCAGUCCUAGGGAACUCAGAGUCCUGGCUCCACUGAUUCAUUCCUCCCGACCUGGGAAGGGGUCUGUCUUACUCCAGCCUCAAGGGUGAGGUCCCAUACAGUGGAAACUGUUGAAGCUGUGUCAGAGCUUCCUGCUUUUCCUCCUCCUCCGAACUU